AUGCACGCUGGCGGCGUGCCUAAUACAUGCCAGUCGAGCGAACAGACGAGGAGCUUGCUCCUCUGACGUUAGCGGCGGACGGGUGAGUAACACGUGGAUAACCUACCUAUAAGACUGGGAUAACUUCGGGAAACCGGAGCUAAUACCGGAUAAUAUAUUUAACCGCAUGGUUCAAUAGUGAAAGACGGUUUUGCUGUCACUUAUAGAUUGAUCCGCGCCGCAUUAGCUAGUUGGUAAGGUAACGGCUUACCAAGGCAACGAUGCGUAGCCGACCUGAGAGGGUGAUCGGCCACACUGGAACUGAGACACGGUCCAGACUCCUACGGGAGGCAGCAGUAGGGAAUCUUCCGCAAUGGGCGAAAGCCUGACGGAGCAACGCCGCGUGAGUGAUGAAGGUCUUCGGAUCGUAAAACUCUGUUAUUAGGGAAGAACAAAUGUGUAAGUAACUAUGCACGUCUUGACGGUACCUAAUCAGAAAGCCACGGCUAACUACGUG
This 496-nucleotide ribosomal RNA is filed under the name uncultured bacterium. RNAcentral's name for it is "partial 16S ribosomal RNA". It matches the Rfam family "Bacterial small subunit ribosomal RNA", at positions 29 to 507 of the family's 1533-position model. The record is from RNAcentral.